This 425-nucleotide ribosomal RNA is filed under the name uncultured bacterium. RNAcentral's name for it is "partial 16S ribosomal RNA". It matches the Rfam family "Bacterial small subunit ribosomal RNA", at positions 354 to 796 of the family's 1533-position model. The record is from RNAcentral.
GUGGGGAAUAUUGGACAAUGGGCGCAAGCCUGAUCCAGCCAUGCCGCGUGAGUGAUGAAGGCCUUAGGGUUGUAAAGCUCUUUCAGUAGGGAAGAUAAUGACGGUACCUACAGAAGAAGCCCCGGCUAACUUCGUGCCAGCAGCCGCGGUAAUACGAAGGGGGCUAGCGUUGUUCGGCUUUACUGGGCGUAAAGCGCACGUAGGCGGAUUGGUCAGUUAGAGGUGAAAUCCCGAAGCUCAACUUCGGAACUGCCUUUAAUACUGCCAGUCUCGAGUCCGGAAGAGGUGAGUGGAACUCCUAGUGUAGAGGUGGAAUUCGUAGAUAUUAGGAAGAACACCAGUGGCGAAGGCGGCUCACUGGUCCGGUACUGACGCUGAGGUGCGAAAGCGUGGGGAGCAAACAGGAUUAGAAACCCGUGUAGUCC